RNAcentral lists this long non-coding RNA (373 nucleotides) under Androctonus crassicauda. The record is from RNAcentral. Lineage: Eukaryota; Metazoa; Arthropoda; Arachnida; Scorpiones; Buthidae.
CUGUAAUCCCCAUCCUGAUGAAUAUCACGCCUUAUCCUAUCACCAAUAUUCUCGUAAAUACGCCACCCCUCCCCCGAUUUUUUUGCAAUAGAUGAGAUGAUGCCACUUUCCAUUCGGAAUAUUAAGUGCUGGGCAAAACAGAUCUUUCACAAGUUGCUCAUCCAAGAGGAGAGAUCAGAUGGAUUGUGGAGGAAAGAGAUGGACCGCUGGACUAGGCCCGGACCCAGUUAUGAAUUUUUCCAGGAGAUGGGACCCGAGAUUCGAACUCUGAUCCUCCUCGGUGGAAAGCCGAAGCAUUUCCACGCGACCAAUCCGGCCGACCUGAUGUCAUCUAGAUCAAAAAAGGUUUUAGAGAUCGAAAAAUCUUGUGUAG